RNAcentral lists this ribosomal RNA (474 nucleotides) under Komagataeibacter xylinus. RNAcentral describes it as "bacterial SSU rRNA". It matches the Rfam family "Bacterial small subunit ribosomal RNA", at positions 374 to 867 of the family's 1533-position model. Lineage: Bacteria; Pseudomonadati; Pseudomonadota; Alphaproteobacteria; Acetobacterales; Acetobacteraceae. The record is from RNAcentral.
GGCGCAGCCUGAUCCAGCAUGCCGCGUGUGUGAAGAAGGUUUUCGGAUUGUAAAGCACUUUCAGCGGGGACGAUGAUGACGGUACCCGCAGAAGAAGCCCCGGCUAACUUCGUGCCAGCAGCCGCGGUAAUACGAAGGGGGCAAGCGUUGCUCGGAAUGACUGGGCGUAAAGGGCGCGUAGGCGGUUGACACAGUCAGAUGUGAAAUUCCCGGGCUUAACCUGGGGGCUGCAUUUGAUACGUGGCGACUAGAGUGUGAGAGAGGGUUGUGGAAUUCCCAGUGUAGAGGUGAAAUUCGUAGAUAUUGGGAAGAACACCGGUGGCGAAGGCGGCAACCUGGCUCAUGACUGACGCUGAGGCGCGAAAGCGUGGGGAGCAAACAGGAUUAAAUACCCUGGUAGUCCACGCUGUAAACGAUGUGUGCUGGAUGUUGGGUGACUUUGUCAUUCAGUGUCGUAGUUAACGCGAUAAGCAC